Serinus canaria (Common canary) is the source of this 1128-nucleotide long non-coding RNA. RefSeq lists it as uncharacterized. The transcript is spliced from 5 exons. The record is from RefSeq and is a predicted model, not a curated record. Lineage: Eukaryota; Metazoa; Chordata; Aves; Passeriformes; Fringillidae.
UGUUCAAGCGCGCGCGGGGCGGGGUGCGCUGCGCUCCGCGGCGCCGUGCGCAGGGCGAGCGCUGCGCUCCCGCGCCGGCCGUGCAGCGGUGGCAGCUUGCGCUCCCAUCGGCUGCCGCCACCGCUCUCCCGCACCCCUCCCAGCUCGCCUCUGCGGCGCGCAGAGAGGGGCAGGACCUCUUUCCCCACGAAGGCGGCAGCAGGGUGCGGGCGGCACUCGCGGGAGUAGUUUGGGGAAGAGGUGAAGAAGGUGCUGGAACUGUGCUGUGCCUCUGCCCCGCUGGAGGGGCGGGGAGGAGCCAACGUGACGGGCCUGGGAUCAGCUGUGCCUGGCUGUUGGGAGUGUGCGUCCGUGUGUAUGCGCGCGCGCCCGGGGCGGGUGUCUCCCCCCCUUAAAAAAAAAGCACGUGCACAUCUGCCCAGCUGUGCCCUGCUUUGCUGCUGAUCCUCCUCCUCCUGCUCACAAGCACAUGUAAGCCUGGAUGUCUCUUUGGAAGAUGCAGCUGAAAAUCGUUGGCUGUGGCAAUUGAUGUGCUCUCCUCCAUCACUCAGCUCAGCUUUCCAUGAAAUGUGACUGUGGAGAGUCGACCUGGGCUGGAUGCCAGGUGCCCACCGAACUGCACUAGCACCGCCUUCGUCAGCUGGGCGUGGAAGGGGGACAAAAUAAAAUGGAAAGCAGCUCACAGGUCAAGAAGCAGUGGGAUUUUUAAGUCUGCUACACUUACCGCCACAUAAUUUCUUUAGAACUAUGAGGUGAAAAUUCAGGUGGCAUGGAAAAGAUGCUGAAGAGGCAGAGAGGCUCUCUGGAGUGAACGCAAUUGCAUGUCUGUCAGGCUGCAUCAGCGCUGUGGGUGGUAGGGAGCACAGGCUGGGGCUGCCUGCUGAGAAAGGAGCCCUUGCUCUGGCUGCUGUGUCCCUGACCUGCUGCGCUGUGGGCCAGGCACAGCCCUUGCUUUAGCAGCACUCUCUGGCAGUAACAUCUACACACAUACGCAUCCCACUUUACGGAAGAUGCUAACGCAUAAGGCAGUUCUCUGGAUUCGCUUCUCAGAUUACAAUAUAUGUGUAGGGUCACAGUUUAUCUUCUCCAGAUCUUCUAAUUAUUGAAAUUCAAGAACCCCAUUUAUUU